AGUUUGUUUCCCCUCAGCAAAGUAAGGGCAGAACACAGCACAUGACCAACCCACCGUGCUUGUCUCCACCCCAUAACAAUGGCGCUGUAAUGAUCCAUCGACAGUUCCUAUGGGCUCACCUCGUCGUUCUUAUCCUCUCCCCUCUCCGGAACAGCUCGCUGGCCGUCCGAAAGCUUGUGAUCUCCGAAUCCGCUCCUGCUUAUCGUGUUCCCACGGACAACGCACUCGAGCCGAUGAUGAAUAUAAAUAGGCAAUGGUGGGUGGAAGGAAGAGUCGAAGGGAGACUGAUGGAAAGGAAGGGGGUAAGGGGCCACGGUAAGUCGGAGCAGGGAGCGCGCAAGGACCGGAGAUCGGCCACUGGCAUGAACGGCGAGCCCAAGAAAGGCGGGCACGGCGGUAAGUUCACAUGGGCCGGCGAUCAGAGGCACAUCAAGGCGGAGUACGGUGAGAUGGAGAAGGGAGCCGUGGACUCCGGAGAUCCCAAUUUCGAAGACCCGGAACAAGAGGAAGAAGAAGCGAGCUCUCGGGGUUGAGGCUUCCCCAUCUUGCUUUCUCCGCCAUCAAUAACUCCCGAAAGAGAGAGAGAGAGAGAGAGAGUUGCUUGUAUGUAUAUAAUCGUCUCAGCAAGAACGCAUGGUUUCCAUUUCGGAUGUACAGUUUCAGAACUCCUCAUCCUGAUUAGCGGUUAAUGCAAGUAAUAUUUACUAAAUAAGAAACAAUUAAAUGGCACCAAA
Long non-coding RNA from Musa acuminata AAA Group (dessert banana), 734 nucleotides. RefSeq lists it as uncharacterized. The transcript is spliced from 2 exons. NCBI's taxonomy places the organism in Eukaryota, Viridiplantae, Streptophyta, Magnoliopsida, Zingiberales, Musaceae. The record is from RefSeq and is a predicted model, not a curated record.